Molecule: long non-coding RNA, 203 nt
Filed under: Hordeum vulgare
Lineage: Eukaryota; Viridiplantae; Streptophyta; Magnoliopsida; Poales; Poaceae
Description: long non-coding RNA (HVUL_LNC019465)
Source: RNAcentral
UGGUAUCAUCAUUUCACCCACAUAGCAUGUGCAAAAAGUUGAGAGGGUUACGAAAAAACUGGAUGCACUUCGUGUACAAAAUGGACAAUCGAUCUCUUUCGAAGUACCACAGUUUCGGAUGAAAACUCACCUGUUACAAAGGCAUUUUAUUUUUUAAAUGACCUAAGAUUUACCAAAUUGAAUAUAAUGAUAAAACACACUAA